GAACGCAGUCGUGAAUCAUCGAAUCUUUGAACGCACAUUGCGCUGUGUGGCAUUCCGCACAGCAUGCCUGUUUGAGCAAUAUUUC
Molecule: ribosomal RNA, 85 nt
Filed under: Debaryomyces hansenii
Lineage: Eukaryota; Fungi; Ascomycota; Pichiomycetes; Serinales; Debaryomycetaceae
Description: partial 5.8S ribosomal RNA
Rfam family: 5.8S ribosomal RNA
About the family: 5.8S ribosomal RNA (5.8S rRNA) is a component of the large subunit of the eukaryotic ribosome. It is transcribed by RNA polymerase I as part of the 45S precursor that also contains 18S and 28S rRNA.
Source: RNAcentral